GUCUGUGCGUACAUGUAUAUGUGUGUGCAAGUAUGUGCAGAUAUGAUGGUGCAGUGAUGAGAC
This 63-nucleotide microRNA precursor is filed under the name Fukomys damarensis (Damara mole-rat). RNAcentral describes it as "miRNA (ENSFDAG00000003025.1)". Lineage: Eukaryota; Metazoa; Chordata; Mammalia; Rodentia; Bathyergidae. The record is from RNAcentral.